This is an RNA transcript of Parasteatoda tepidariorum (common house spider), 539 nucleotides long. RefSeq lists it as uncharacterized. NCBI's taxonomy places the organism in Eukaryota, Metazoa, Arthropoda, Arachnida, Araneae, Theridiidae. The record is from RefSeq and is a predicted model, not a curated record.
AUCAACCCAGAUGCCGCUUGAACGGCGAUAGAGUAAAGUUGAGUUGGGUGCCGUCCUCUGUAUUAAUCACGAGAGAAGUUGCUCCUUAACAAUAGCGAUCAUAUAUUCAAAUUAUUUACGAGUUAUUUAGUGGCAACGGUAAAUUUUUACCAAAAAAGAUUAUUUUCUUUAUCGUUUGCGUUUUUUAUUGGUGGAUUUUUUUUAAAUGUGCGUGAGGAUUACAAAUGGAUAGUGUGGAACAUCGGAAGUUUGUGAAAGAAUUUUAAUAUCGUUUGGAAUUUCGCUUAAAAUUGCUAAAGACCGUUCGGCAUGGCCGACCCGCAAACGGUCAUAGAAGGAACAUUGAAAUACAGAGAUAAUAAGAAGUGGAAACCAAGGUGGUGCGUUAUAAGGAAACUAUCACCAGUGGCAGAAAUGUUGUUAUUGAAUUAGGAUGAGACCAACGGAUGAAAUCAUAAUGAAAUCUGCAUCAAUUAGCUCUUAAAAGUUCAAGAUUAUAUUAAAGAAACUAAAUAAAAGUCAUUUUGUUUUUCCUUAAA